This 579-nucleotide long non-coding RNA is filed under the name Zonotrichia albicollis (white-throated sparrow). Its description in RNAcentral is "lncRNA (ENSZALG00000008468.1)". Lineage: Eukaryota; Metazoa; Chordata; Aves; Passeriformes; Passerellidae. The record is from RNAcentral.
AACAAGUACUCCUUAUUACAGAUUUAUUAUCCUUAUGACAUCUGUCCGCAGAACAGGGGAAUAGGUCAAGAUAUGUCUUCCCAUCAACGUUUCUGUACACAUGUGCAAGUUUUCUGUUCAAGAAAAUAAUCAUCUUGCCUCUUGGCUUUCAGCAAUAUCUUCUGCCCUGGAUAUUUGCUCCCCUCCCCAGCUGGAAGAAUAUCCCACUGCUCAGUGACAAUUUGUACGUGUACAAAUCAUUGACCAAAUACCAAGUCAGGUGUACUUGGCCACUCUUUAAGAAACAAAAUGCCUGGGACUGUCAGAUAAGAAGUCCACAUGGCAGCUUUCCAAUUGUAUUUAUCCACUCCAACUAAUUGAGUCACAUAAAUAUCUCUUGGCACUGGACAUGCUCCUCUCAAUUAUACCAAGACCAAAUGACAGUGCACCACACACGAAAAAAAAAAAAUUUUGAAGAUUUUUGAAACAAUUAUUAACCGGAAGGUGAGGAGAAGAACUGAUAUUGAUUCAGAUAAUCACAUAAAUGUUGAAGAUAUUUUUGGGAAAAGAAAAGAAAAAAGAAAAGAAAAGAAAAGAAAA